This 442-nucleotide ribosomal RNA is filed under the name uncultured bacterium. RNAcentral's name for it is "partial 16S ribosomal RNA". It matches the Rfam family "Bacterial small subunit ribosomal RNA", at positions 338 to 795 of the family's 1533-position model. The record is from RNAcentral.
CCUACGGGAGGCAGCAGUGGGGAAUAUUGGGCAAUGGGCGCAAGCCUGACCCAGCAAAGCCGCGUGAAGGAAGAAGGCUUUCGGGUUGUAAACUUCUUUUGUCAGGGAAGAGUAAAAGACGGUACCUGACGAAUAAGCUAUGGCUAACUACGUGCCAGCAGCCGCGGUAAUACGUAGGUGGCAAGCGUUGUCCGGAUGUACUGGGUGUAAAGGGCGUGUAGUCGGGUUUACAAGUCAGAUGUGAAAUCCUGCGGCUUAACCGCAGAACUGCAGUUGAAACUGUUGAUCUUGAGUGCUGAAGAGGCAGACGGAAUGCCUGGUGUAGCGGUGAAAUGCGUAGAUAUUAGGAGGAACACCAGUGGCGAAGGCGGUCUGCUGGAGAGCAACUGACGGUGAGGCGCGAAAGCGUGGGGAGCAAACAGGAUUAGAUACCCGUGUAGUC